AACGAACGCUGGCGGCAUGCCUAACACAUGCAAGUCGAACGAGACCUUCGGGUCUAGUGGCGCACGGGUGCGUAACGCGUGGGAACCUGCCUUUAGGUUCGGAAUAACUCAGAGAAAUUUGAGCUAAUACCGGAUGAUGUCUUCGGACCAAAGAUUUAUCGCCUUUAGAUGGGCCCGCGUUGGAUUAGCUAGUUGGUGGGGUAAAGGCCUACCAAGGCGACGAUCCAUAGCUGGUCUGAGAGGAUGAUCAGCCACACUGGGACUGAGACACGGCCCAGACUCCUACGGGAGGCAGCAGUGGGGAAUAUUGGACAAUAGGCGAAAGCCUGAUCCAGCAAUGCCGCGUGAGUGAUGAAGGCCUUAGGGUUGUAAAGCUCUUUUACCCGAGAUGAUAAUGACAGUAUCGGGAGAAUAAGCUCCGGCUAACUCCGUG
This 433-nucleotide ribosomal RNA is filed under the name uncultured bacterium. RNAcentral's name for it is "partial 16S ribosomal RNA". It matches the Rfam family "Bacterial small subunit ribosomal RNA", at positions 29 to 507 of the family's 1533-position model. The record is from RNAcentral.